This 54-nucleotide transfer RNA is filed under the name Achalinus meiguensis (Sichuan odd-scaled snake). Its description in RNAcentral is "tRNA-Ser". The record is from RNAcentral. Lineage: Eukaryota; Metazoa; Chordata; Lepidosauria; Squamata; Xenodermidae.
AGGGGGUCUCGAGACCCGCUAAGUCUCCAAUCUGUUGCUAACCCACCAGCCCCC